UUGGAACAGCUUCAUUUCGU
RNAcentral lists this microRNA (20 nucleotides) under Bombyx mori nucleopolyhedrovirus. RNAcentral describes it as "partial bmn-miR-463". Lineage: Naldaviricetes; Lefavirales; Baculoviridae. The record is from RNAcentral.